GAGUUUGAUCUUGGCUCAGAACGAACGCUGGCGGCAGGCCUAACACAUGCAAGUCGAACGCUCGUAGCAAUACGGGAGUGGCGCACGGGUGAGUAACGCGUGGGCACCUGCCCGGUGGUCCGGGAUAACCGCGGGAAACUGCGGCUAAUACCGAAUACGCCCUUAGGGGGAAAGAUUUAUCGCCAUCGGAUGGGCCCGCGUAGGAUUAGCUAGUUGGUGAGGUAACGGCUCACCAAGGCGACGAUCCUUAGCUGGUCUGAGAGGAUGAUCAGCCACACUGGGACUGAGACACGGCCCAGACUCCUACGGGAGGCAGCAGUGGGGAAUAUUGGACAAUGGGGGAAACCCUGAUGCAGCAACGCCGCGUGAGUGAAGAAGGCCCUUGGGUCGUAAAGCUCUUUAGCGAGGGAAGAGGGUAGAUACGGUGAAUAAUCGUGUUUGCUGACGGUACCUCGAGAAUAAGCACCGGCUAAUUUCGUGCCAGCAGCCGCAGUAAU
Molecule: ribosomal RNA, 497 nt
Filed under: uncultured Alphaproteobacteria bacterium
Lineage: Bacteria; Pseudomonadati; Pseudomonadota; Alphaproteobacteria
Description: bacterial SSU rRNA
Rfam family: Bacterial small subunit ribosomal RNA
Source: RNAcentral